Molecule: long non-coding RNA, 5449 nt
Organism: Anolis carolinensis (green anole)
Lineage: Eukaryota; Metazoa; Chordata; Lepidosauria; Squamata; Anolidae
Source: Ensembl
UCCCUUCUUUUUCUUCUAGGUCUAUCAAAUUUGGAAGCAGUGCAUCGACUUGGGUGGUAUAUUUUUCCGGCAAAAUAGCUCUGGCUCUUUUCCUUUCUCUUUCUAGUUCCUCCUCAGAGGGGCUGAUGUUGGCGUUUGGCUUGGUUUUAUCUAUCAUCAGAUGUGAUCCAGUGCUCUUCAUGUUUGUAAGUGGCCAUAAUUCCUCUCUUCUUUCCCACCUAAACCGAAUUUGCCUCCUUUUAAGUUCUUCUGUAAGGAAGAGAUAUUUCUUUUGUUUUUACAUUGUACUGGACAGAUGUUCUUUGAGGAUCGUUACUUUUAGCCCUUUAUACUGGAUAGUAUUUUUUUUGCUUAUUCUCAGGACUUCCUCUCUUAUCUUUCUUCUCUCGAAUUGGACGACCACAUCUCUCGACACUUUUUUUUUAAAAAAAGUUUGUAGUUACUCUGAAAGCUCUCUCUAUAUUUUCUUCCAUCUCUUUGUCUUGUACUUGUAAUAGGUCUGCUAGGAUUUGAGUCACAAUUUGCUUCACAUUUUCUUUUGGUUCCUCUACUAUGUUUCUUAUUCUUACCUGGAAUUCCAAUUCUUUCUUUUCUAAUCUUUCCUGUCUUUCUUCCAGUUUAGCAUUCUUCAGUUCUAGUUUUUCUAAUUUGAUCUUAAAAUUGUCUUGUGUUUUUUCUAAUUUUUUGUCGUCCUCUUUUAUUUCUUUAAUGUCCUCUUGUAGACCUUUCAUUUCUUUUUUCAUUUCUACAAAUUCCUCUGUUAAAUCCUUUUUCAUGGUUGCCAUUUGGUCUUGAUACAUUUUUUGAUUGUCCACAAUCCUCUGAAGUUCUCUCCUAAUGUCCUUUAAGUGAACUUCCUCGGCUAUUGAUCCCUUCCUCGCGGGAAUUUUUUUAUCCUCCAUCUUCGAUUUAGGGGUAGUCAUCUUCAAUUUGUAUUAUAACUGCCCACUCUCUCAGAGUCCAUGAUCAGAAUCGGUGUAUAUCUGUGUAUAUAAGUUGUUAACAGUAUUUAAUAUUAUUACAUCCAAAAUUCGUAUCAAAUUCAACUAUAAAAUAUAUAUCAUCUACAUAUCACAUUCCUCAAAUCUCAAAAAAUUUAUGUUUUAUAACUAGUUGCAGUAGUUUGACUGAUUAGUUGGAGUAAUUAAUAUUUAUCAAUUUGUAUAUCUCUUCUUCCUGCCGUAUAAACAGAUACUACUUAUUUUGUUUGCCUGGUUGGUCAGAAAAUAACUCCUGUAAUAUUUGAUAUUAAUUCAACCCACUAUUUUAUUGAUGUUGUCAAUUUGAUAGGUGAAUUUGAUAUACUGAGAUUUUCUCUUAGUAAAUUAUUUGGGAGGAUAAUUAUCAUUAUUUUUCCUUCCUCUCCUGAUCCCACCACUAUCAUCCACAGUUCCCGAAGGCGCAGUCACAACAAAUGGUAAAGUGAAAAAAACCCUAAAACUCAAAGAUUUAUUUUUCAAAACUUUAUUUAUUAAACCAAUGUAAAGUGAAAAAAACCUCAAAGUCAAAGAUUUAGUUUUGAAAACUUUAUUAAAGCAAUGGUAAAGUAAAAAAAACCCCUCAAAGUCAAAGAUUUAUUUUUCAAAACUUUAUUAAAGCAAUGGUAAAGUGAAAAAACCCAAAGUCAAAGAUUUAUUUUUCAAAACUUUACUAAAGCAAUGGUAAAGUGAAAAAACUCAAAGUCAGAUACUUAUUUUUCAAAACUUUAUUAAAGCAACGGUAAAGUGAAAAAACUCAAAGUCGGAUACUUAUUUUUCAAAACUUUAUUAAAGCAAUGGUAAAGUGAAAAAACUCAAAGUCAAAACUUUAUUUCUUAAAGCAUCAAGUCCUGGGUGUGGGCUUCGUAAUUCAAAGGGCCGGUCAUUGUCAUCGAGGAUCCUCUGCGGGAUAUAACUGUAAUAAAGAAAGAAAGAAAGAAAUCAAUAAAUGGAGGCUCAAAGAUCUCCCCCCACACCCUUUUUCUGCUUUUUAAUUUUACAAAACAAUUUCUUACAUCAUCACGUCCUGGGUGGCGGCUUUGGAAGGAAAAAUGGCCAGUUCGUUUUGUUGAACGUUGCAGAGCUGGUCCCAGGAGCAGCGGCGUUGGCUUCCUCUUUUAUGGGAGGCAGAAAGUAGGGCUGGCGAUGUUGAUCGAUUGGUUGGCGGCUCUCCUUAUUUCCCGUCAGGAAGGGAUCCCCUGGAACGCAGGGGGGCCGGAUCCAGUCCGACCCCGUGUAGAUCAGGCGGAUCUCUUUCCUUCUUCUCCAGGAGAGCCGCCGCUGCCAGCUCCCUUUCUCGGCGUACUUUUUUUUCCUUGCUGCCGCCGCUCCAGGGACUCCUAAUAUAAAAUAAAAAAGAAACAUUAUUAAUAUACCACUCUAUCUCCCAGGGCCCCCCUAUAUACAACAAACAAUAACUUAACAUAGCAAAAUAAACUAAAUAAUAUAAAAAAAAUAAACAAACCUUUUCCUGCCUUUCCUUCUGUUGCCAGUAAUCUAACAAAUGGAGGUCCCGCCAUUGUUUGUAUUCAAGCUUCUUUUGACGAGCCAGAAGAUCUCUUUUGAAUUUUUCUUCAGUUUUGCGGGCUUCGAUACUGGCCUUUUUUUGCUUUGCUUCCUCUUCUUUUUUUCCAGGAAGUUCCCAGAGGGGGCGCCUUUCCCUUGUCGUUAUUGCUGGGAGCUUCUUGACAGAACUUUGUUUGCUUGUAGUCGGAACCGCCUCCUCGGAACUUUUUUUCUCCAUCAAGGAGGGGAUUGACGGAGGCCGUAGAGGAUCCUCGGCCCACACCCAGGUAUUCAGCUUUUUUGUAUUUUUCAUUUUCCUGACUACGCUAGCUCUAGAGCCUAACUAGCUCUAACUAAAAAAAAUAAAAAACACAACACACUACAAACAACACUACAAACUACACACAAUAUAAACUGCACUCUACAAAAUACACUCUACACACUACACUCUACACACUACACAAUAAAUAAAGAUAAAAAUUAAAAAGAAAAGAAAAAAGAGAAAGGUAAAGGUAAAGGUAAAGAUAAAAGGUUAAGAUACAAGGUAAAGAUCAAAGGUAAAGAUCAAAGAUCAAGAGAGAAAAUAAAAUAAGAAUAAGAAAAAUUAAAUCAAGGAAACAAGAGCUGAAAGAUUGAAUAAGACCUCGCUGUCACUUGCUACACCAACCACCUGCACCUGCACCUCCACCCAGUCCAAAGCUAACUGGUAAAGAAGCAGGGGCUGGCCAAAGCUUAUAUGCUUGUAGGAGGCACAGUGAUGCGUAAAGGGUGGGCUGAGUGGGCCAAUCAGAAGGGAGAGGCUUAAAGGUCAGCCUCUCAAUUGAGUCCAACAUGACCAAUUAUGGUCAUGUUGAGAAACAUCAACUAGACUUAAUGUCAAGGGGGAAACUUUACCUUUUAGGGCGAUGGAGAUUAUUUGCCCAUCAGGGAGAGGCUUAAAGGUCAGCCACUCAAUUGAGUCCAUUAUGACCAGUUAUGGCCAUAUUGGGGCACAUCAACUAGACUCAAUGUCACCUUUCAUGGUGAUGGUGAUGAUUUGCUUUGGGAUUUUUUUUUUUAAUUAAGCAAAAUGUUUGACCACCAAGCAUAGAAUUAUAUUUGUUGCUACUUCAUAAAUGGAAUUUUGCUACUGUUAUGAAUUGUAAUAUAAAUAUCUGAUAUGCAGGAUGUAUUUUCAUUGUUACAGAUUGAACAAAAAACAUAGUGAUUAAUCACAAAAACUAUAUGUUUGGGGGAGUGUGAUUUAUUUAUUUAUUUAUUUAUUUAUUUAUGUAUUUAGUUAUUUACAGUACUUUUUCCCCACCUUUCUCAAACCCGGAGGGGACUCAAGGCAGCUUCACAACAUGGCAACAAUUCAAUGCCUUUAAAAACAGAGUACAAAAACAAUCCUUUAAAGCAUUAAAAUACAAUUAAAAACAAUUAACAUUUAACUCCGAACAACAGAGUAAAUCACGUGCUCCAUAGGCACAGUCCUGGCCGUUCCAUUGGUCAGUUCCAUAUCUUUCAUAUCUAUUACUGCACCAGAAUUCUGAAGGCUUGCUCAAAGAGCCACGUCUUCCCUUUUUUGCAGAAGAUCAGGAGGUGAUCUAAUCUCCCUGGGGAGGGAGUUCCAUAGCCGGGAGCCACCACCGAGAAGGCCCUGUCUCUCGUCCCCGCCAAUCGCGCUUGCAAAGAGGGCAGAACCGGGAGCAGGGCCUCCCCAGACAAUCUUAGACUCCGAGAUGGUUCAUAGGGGGAGAUACGUUCGGACAGAUAAACUGGGCCAGAACCGUUCAGAGCUUUAUAGGCUAAAGCCAGCACUGUAUGGACAAGAGAUGAUGGGAUCUGCAGUAUCAUCUAGUCUAACCUCCUACUGUAAGGCAGCUGUACACCACUAAAGCACUCCUUAAAGAUGCCCAUUACACUUGCAUUUGAAGACCUCCAGAGGAGGAAAGUCCACCACCCUCCAAACCGGCGUGUUCCCUGAAAUAUGGAGGGCAUCCAAAAGCAGUAUUUUGCAUUAAACAUGGAGGAUGACCCAAAGGUCAUCUAGCAGGGAUACACAAUGAAAGCCCUCCCAUACGAUUCCCAUCCCACCUCUGCUUGAAGACCACAGAAGUCCACUUCUCUAUGACUCUAUGGAAAGGAACCCCCAAGGGUUAUCUAGUCCAAUCCCAUUUUAUCUAAUCGUCGUCGUCAUCAUUAAAGCCGUUAGGGACAAUUUCUUGUACCUUGUACUCAGCUCUUUGUAUUUUUUUUGACCUCAGCCCCCUCCCCUCCUUUUUUACACAGGCGUUAACUAAAUCCAAACGAGCAGGCAAGUGAAACGCAGCAUUAUUGAACAUAAGAGCAAGUUUAGAAACAGACUCCAUCCUUUACACACACUUUGGUAGAUUUUAAUCACAAUGUAGAGUCACAGUCUUGAAAUCCUACGAGUUGUCACACCCCCGCAAACACUCUUGGUACUAAUGUUGGAGAGUGGUCCCUGGUCAAAGUGGUCCCUGGUCAAAAUAAGGUUCACUUGUCCGUCACUUCCUUGGAGCAGGACUAUGAAAUGUUUCAUGUCUAUAGAUUUAUCACACAUCAUCUCUUAAUAUCUUUUCAUUCCUUAGUUCCUUUGCCCACAGUGCUGUCUUUAAAAUGUGAUCUUAAGUCUCUACUGGAAUAUAUCUCUUGGCGACCGUUCUGAUCUUUGAUCGCUGUCUUACCACCUCAUCAGAUGGGGUGAUUUUACCAUCCUAUGAUGCUUUCACCCCAUCUGAUGGGCUUGCUGUGGAAGCCCCACAUACAGCUGGGGUGAAAGCGUCACUGGACAUUUUUCCUGGCCACACGGGAGGCUUGCCGUGUUGUGCUGGCUCUAAUAGAGCUAGCAUGGGGCCUCCCUGCAAUGGCUACACUUCCUUCAUGUGAUGGGGAAAGCAUCACCGAGAGGAAGCUGUGGGUGGGGUGACAAAUUCUCCCCACUGUUCCCUCUUUCCUCCUCGGAA